UAGGUGAAGACAAAUCUAUGGCAAAUCCGGUGGCGACACGCAGUAUAAAAUACCAACAGGAGUAACACGGAGAGUGGCGAGGACAGUGCAAGUUUCUUGAGCUAAAGUCACCAGAGUGGAGAUUUCACAAUUGGAACCAAGGCUGCAGAAAUCCAAGGAAGCACACUGUUGUGCUGGAUUAUGGGCAGCAAUGCUGUAAAACCAGUUUGGAAAGACGGAGAUCCCUGAGCCCUGAGGGGAGGGUUUGAUGAAGACAUCCCAUUUAUGACUAGGUGCUCCAAUGUCUGUUACUGUCCAGCUGUGGGUCUCUGCAUUCGUUCCCAUCUACUGUGAGAAGAAGCUUCUCUGAACUGAGUGGAGCCUUUGUCAUGGUGAUGGAGAAGUCAGCAACAUGGAGUCUGUUCUUUUGGAGGACAGAUAAGAGCAGAAGCCAAAAGGUGAGGUGUCCCCUGUGGGCUCAUUGGAGGAGUUGCUUGGGAAGAAGUCAAUCCUUGAGGAGGAAGAACUGACUGGAGGAGCAUCCGCAAACAGCUCUUGGGAUCUCACAAAGAGAUCCUACUAAACUCUCUCAUCUCUGCAAAGACAUCUUGCUGGCUGCCUUUGGUAUCCACAACUAGGCACUGCCGUAGCCAUCACCACCAGAUGCUAAUGCUACCAUUGAACAUUUUAAGGCAAGGACAGGUUUUAUGGGGUCUUAACACAAGGCCCUCAGCCACACCUGACUUUCCCAGAAGAGAGGUAGAUGUGCAUAUAUUUACAUAUAAAAGAGGAAGAAGAUGUGAGUCAAUGGGUCGGAGCAGACGGUCCUGAGCACACUGUCCUUUCUCUCUGACAGUGACUCAGGUGGGUGGCUGGUUGACCAAGGCAUUUCCAGUCCUUGCAUAUGCCUCUCCCCAGGAUGGCUUCUCAAUCACAGAAGCAAAUAUGUGGGCCCUGGCCCCCCACUGUGAGUGGCUGCCACCUUGCUUGCCAACCUUGACCAGAUGUCCUCCCUAUGCUGAU
This is a long non-coding RNA of Peromyscus leucopus (white-footed mouse), 1002 nucleotides long. RefSeq lists it as uncharacterized. The transcript has 5 exons. Lineage: Eukaryota; Metazoa; Chordata; Mammalia; Rodentia; Cricetidae. The record is from RefSeq and is a predicted model, not a curated record.